GGGGGGGCUUCUUGGGGUCAGAGUGGGUGUUGAGUAAACCAACCUGAUGCAUUGGCCACAUUCAGUGAUCUUUCUCAUUUUUUUUUUUAAUGGCAAUCAACUUUUUCCUAACUGUAUUUCCAGAUCCAAGAACAACCUCCCUGGUAGAUUUUCACAGAGAUAAUCUUUCCCUUCAAUGCUCCUAAAUGCCUGACCUCAUAUUCCAGGUAACAAGCCAGAUACUACUUCCAUCUUGACCAGGUCAGUACACAACCUGAAGGUCCUUGUGACUCUUCCUGGCAUGUGUCUUCAGUGUCAGGCUUUCUGAUUCUGUUCUCAUAGAAGUUCAUUGUUUAUUUUAUACUUGGCCUUGGUCAUGAAUUCUUGUCAUUUGACGAUGCUCCUUUGGGUCUCACCUGUGCCAUUGCACUAAUUAUGUAGGUGUGCAAGAGAUGUAAGAUUGAUAGAAAAAUUUUGGGGGGAAAUUUCAGUGAAUUUGUACAUCCUGCAGGAUGAUGAGGUUUUGAUGAUUCAUUUGUUCUUCAGCAAAUAUGUUUUCCUUGACCCACCCUGAGCUGGAGGACAGUCAUUUUAUGUAUUUAGUAUGGGGGCUAAAACAGGGAAUAAUACAGAAUAGUCCAUGUCCUCACGGAGUUUCAGGAAGCAUACGCAGAGCUAUCACCACACAUGGAAUUGACUUGCAUUUUCAAAGGCCCAAGAUGGGAGGGAGGCUCUUGUGUUGGGGGGCUAGAAAAUAACUUGGGUGGAUGGAGGAAGUAGGGGACAGGAAGGAAAAAAAAUGGAAUUCUCAGAUGCUUUCCUUUCAAACCAAUGUACACUAGGACACCCAGAGAGGGAAAGCCAUUUGUUAAGAGAUUGACACUGCAGCAACAGCAGUAUUUGGUGAGCUCAAGUUUGGUCCAUUUCUGUAACAGUUCUGUAAUUCCUCUUCCGUGUUUACCAGAUAUUAAUCAUCUUUAGCAUUUUUCCCUGCUGCAGGUGUUUCUGAUUAGACUGUGCCUUUAAAAUAUCCGUGUUCCCUCUGAUCUCUUCCAAUCUGGAACUUCAUUCUAGCAAGUGUAUGGCAUUCACAUGGCUUUACCUUAACCUGUUUUGGCUGCUGUAACAAAAACAGCACAGAGGGCAGCGCAGUUCAUAACCGCCAAGAUAUGGAGCCAACUUAGGUGCCCAUCAACAGGUAGGGUCUGCGUGGUAAAUGGCUGUCUUGGAUUUGGAGGUGUUUGUCGUUCUGCACCCCCCCCCCCAUGGAAAAUCCUGUGACAUUCAUCUUACUUCCAUCCAGUGAAGAGGUCUUUUGGUCCCAGCAGCAGCAGAAAGCUAACUAAAUCAACCUCAGGGAGGCUGAUAACCAUUCCCUCCACCUGGCCUGGGCCACCACAGGUGCAUGGCAGG
Molecule: long non-coding RNA, 1392 nt
Organism: Marmota monax (woodchuck)
Lineage: Eukaryota; Metazoa; Chordata; Mammalia; Rodentia; Sciuridae
Exons: 3
Source: RefSeq, a predicted model, not a curated record